GAACUGGAAAAGGGGAGCUGGCAGUCAGUCGGCUGAGAGUGGGAUGUGUUUCCCAGACCCGUAACCUGAUUUGGAUAAUGCCAACGUAGGGAUAUAAAACCGAGGUCUU
This 109-nucleotide non-coding RNA is filed under the name Clostridium sp. Its description in RNAcentral is "TPP sequence". It matches the Rfam family "TPP riboswitch aptamer (THI element)". From Rfam's summary of the family: Vitamin B(1) in its active form thiamin pyrophosphate (TPP) is an essential coenzyme that is synthesised by coupling of pyrimidine and thiazole moieties in bacteria. The previously detected thiamin-regulatory element, thi box was extended, resulting in a new, highly conserved RNA secondary structure, the THI element, which is widely distributed in eubacteria and also occurs in some archaea. Analysis of operon structures identified a large number of new candidate thiamin-regulated genes, mostly transporters, in various prokaryotic organisms. Lineage: Bacteria; Bacillati; Bacillota; Clostridia; Eubacteriales; Clostridiaceae. The record is from RNAcentral. RNAcentral also lists the same sequence under 1 other name.